Molecule: long non-coding RNA, 1170 nt
Organism: Passer montanus (Eurasian tree sparrow)
Lineage: Eukaryota; Metazoa; Chordata; Aves; Passeriformes; Passeridae
Exons: 2
Source: RefSeq, a predicted model, not a curated record
CCCGGUCCCCUCAAGCUCUGCUCCCGCCGCCGCCAUUGCAGGGGCCGAGUCCGCCCGCUCCCCGCCGCCGUCUGCCCGUUUCCCUGGGAGAAAUCCCGGCCAGGACCUGAACGGGAAGGUCCCGGCCGCGCUUCCCGGCCCCAACAGCGUCUGCCGAGGCUCCGGCAGCGGGGACACAGCUCCGCCGGCUCUCAAAGCGGUGGUGGCCAGAGCGGCGCCUCAGCCGUACGCGAGAGUGGGGCCAGGCUGAGGGGCAGGGCCCCGAGGGCAGGCCCAAUCUGAGCGGGUUGAGAUUGGCGGGACCGCGCCCGGGUUGAAAGGUCGGCUGUGAUUGGACAGGGCGGAGAAAGGCGGGCCGGGAUUGGCAAACUUGGCGUCCCGUGGGUUUCUCGGGCGCGGCAACGAAUAUUAACCGUACACGAGCAUGUCUCUGCUAACAAAGUUGGUUGAACGGAUCACUUCCAUGCAGCAAUGUAAUCGAUACGCAAAUAUUCAAGUCUUACUAAAUUUCUCAGUGAUCUUCAUCACUUACUUGUAGUUCUACAGAGAGAGGAUAACGGUAUGGAGUGCAUGGCAGAAGCAAGCAUGCACUUAUUCUGUGUCACAGUAUUAGAACACAAUAGGGAUAGCAUUAAAAAGCUCUUUCCACUGUGAUUCCACUGAAAGUUUCUUCAUAUCUUUUUUGAACUCCAAGCAAACAUCACAUUCAAGUAUCUGAUUCUCAACAUUGCCAUUUCAGGAAAACCACUAUGAAACCUGUCAAUAAGUGAAGUUCCCCUUUAAGCCAUUUACAACACAGCUACUGCAGUUGCCCCCACCUUUUGAAAAACUUGUAUGUUAAAAUUUAAAACAUCAAAAGAAGUCAGACAAAAAUAGAAUUGCAAAACAACUUUAAAGAAGAAAGUCAAGUGAAGGAAUUUAGUAUAUACUUUGUUCCAUAUAUACAAAUAAAGAACUGUGAUUCUUAAAUACUUGAAGUAUGAAAAAAAAAUAAGUGAACUAUUAUGAAUAAACAGACAUCUUUGAAAAUCCAUCUUUUAAUAGAAAGUGCUUAAAUUAUAUUCUUAAAACAAUGCUGUGAGCAGCACAGUAACAGGCUGACCAAGUAUCUUGCUGGCUUUUUUUUUUUUUAAAUAUGCAAAAAACUCAGGGGAAAAAAAAACCUUCUUA